RNAcentral lists this unclassified non-coding RNA (338 nucleotides) under fungal sp. RNAcentral describes it as "partial internal transcribed spacer region". The record is from RNAcentral. Lineage: Eukaryota; Fungi.
AAGUCGUAACAAGGUUUCCGUAGGUGAACCUGCGGAAUGAAUCUUGUAGCCCACACGGAACAGCAAUCCCGGUAAAUCAAUUGGAGGAAAGGUUUUGAUUCGGGACCUCUGUCCAUCAGGUUACAAUCGAGCUAGGAGCAGUGGCAUGGUUUCCCUAAGCAGUGCAGAAGGAUCCACUGAGUAAGGAUAACGCCUCACGGUUGCCAGAGGUCGAUCACCGGCCGGCAGACAUGUCACAGGGCUUUAUGCCCCCUCAUUCACACCUUGCCCUAUCAAGCCCCGCGGAAACGUUGGGGCACAAACUCGAACAACUGUUAACAAUGGAUAUCUUGGUUCUC